This 867-nucleotide ribosomal RNA is filed under the name Bacillus licheniformis. RNAcentral's name for it is "bacterial SSU rRNA". The record is from RNAcentral. Lineage: Bacteria; Bacillati; Bacillota; Bacilli; Caryophanales; Bacillaceae.
CGAAAGUCUGACGGAGCAACGCCGCGUGAGUGAUGAAGGUUUUCGGAUCGUAAAGCUCUGUUGUUAGGGAAGAACAAGUACCGUUCGAAUAGGGCGGUACCUUGACGGUACCUAACCAGAAAGCCACGGCUAACUACGUGCCAGCAGCCGCGGUAAUACGUAGGUGGCAAGCGUUGUCCGGAAUUAUUGGGCGUAAAGGGCUCGCAGGCGGUUUCUUAAGUCUGAUGUGAAAGCCCCCGGCUCAACCGGGGAGGGUCAUUGGAAACUGGGGAACUUGAGUGCAGAAGAGGAGAGUGGAAUUCCACGUGUAGCGGUGAAAUGCGUAGAGAUGUGGAGGAACACCAGUGGCGAGCGACUCUCUGGUCUGUAACUGACGCUGAGGCGCGAAAGCGUGGGGAGCGAACAGGAUUAGAUACCCUGGUAGUCCACGCCGUAAACGAUGAGUGCUAAGUGUUAGAGGGUUUCCGCCCUUUAGUGCUGCAGCAAACGCAUAAGCACUCCGCCUGGAGUACGGUCGCAAGACUGAAACUCAAAGGAAUUGACGGGGGCCCGCACAAGCGGUGGAGCAUGUGGUUUAAUUCGAAGCAACGCGAAGAACCUUACCAGGUCUUGACAUCCUCUGACAACCCUAGAGAUAGGRCUUCCCCUUCGGGGGCAGAGUGACAGGUGGUGCAUGGUUGUCGUCAGCUCGUGUCGUGAGAUGUUGGGUUAAGUCCCGCAACGAGCGCAACCCUUGAUCUUAGUUGCCAGCAUUCAGUUGGGCACUCUAAGGUGACUGCCGGUGACAAACCGGAGGAAGGUGGGGAUGACGUCAAAUCAUCAUGCCCCUUAUGACCUGGGCUACACACGUGCUACAAUGGRCAGAAC